RNAcentral lists this ribosomal RNA (468 nucleotides) under uncultured bacterium. Its description in RNAcentral is "partial 16S ribosomal RNA". It matches the Rfam family "Bacterial small subunit ribosomal RNA", at positions 28 to 507 of the family's 1533-position model. The record is from RNAcentral.
GACGAACGCUGGCGGCGUGCUUAACACAUGCAAGUCGAACGGAAAGGCCCUGCUUUUGUGGGGUGCCCGAGUGGCGAACGGGUGAGUAACACGUGAGUAACCUGCCCUUGACUUUGGGAUAACUUCAGGAAACUGGGGCUAAUACCGGAUAGGAGCUCCUGCUGCAUGGUGGGGGUUGGAAAGUUUCGGCGGUUGGGGAUGGACCCGCGGCUUAUCAGCUUGUUGGUGGGGUAGUGGCUUACCAAGGCUUUGACGGGUAGCCGGCCUGAGAGGGUGACCGGCCACAUUGGGACUGAGAUACGGCCCAGACUCCUACGGGAGGCAGCAGUGGGGAAUAUUGCACAAUGGGCGGAAGCCUGAUGCAGCAACGCCGCGUGCGGGAUGACGGCCUUCGGGUUGUAAACCGCUUUCGCCUGUGACGAAGCGUGAGUGACGGUAAUGGGUAAAGAAGCACCAGCUAACUACGUG